AGUCAUGUAAUAUUCAACAAAAUAUUACUCUAAUUAACAAAAUACUUACAUUUAUUUGUUAUGCUUUCUAACUAAAUAAAGCUUUUGGGAAUGGUGGAGGAGACAUAAAAAGAUCAGGCAUUGAUUUUAAAUGUUUAUUUUUCUAUUUUAAUUUUGAUUUUGAUUUAAUUUUUGUGUAUUCUUUCUUAUUAUUUUCAUUUUAUUCUAGCUCCUAAUGCUCCAGUUGUCAUCACUGAAGAAUGUAGUGCUGAAAACAAUAGUGUCACAAUUGCCUGGCAACCUCCAGCUUCAUCAUUUGUUGAAGGCUAUAUUUUAGAAUUGGAUGAUGGAAAUAAUGGAGAUUUCAGAGAAGUUUACUGUGGUGGAGAAACAAUUUGUACAGUUGAUGGUUUACAUUUUAACUGUACUUACAAUGCUCGUGUCAAAGCAUUCAAUAGUGCUGGUGAGGGCGAAUACAGUGAAAUUAUAGGAUUACAAACUUCUGAAGUGGCUUGGUUUAAUUUUGAUCCAUGCUUGAGUUCUCCUGAAUUAUGUUUCACUCCUGAUAAUUGUACAGUGACUUGUGAGGGUUUUGAACAUCGUGUUGCUCUUGGUAGUGUUGGUUUUUCUAGAGGAGUUC
This is a long non-coding RNA of Daktulosphaira vitifoliae (grape phylloxera), 619 nucleotides long. RefSeq lists it as uncharacterized. The transcript has 3 exons. The record is from RefSeq and is a predicted model, not a curated record. Lineage: Eukaryota; Metazoa; Arthropoda; Insecta; Hemiptera; Phylloxeridae.